RNAcentral lists this ribosomal RNA (469 nucleotides) under uncultured bacterium. Its description in RNAcentral is "partial 16S ribosomal RNA". It matches the Rfam family "Bacterial small subunit ribosomal RNA", at positions 28 to 508 of the family's 1533-position model. The record is from RNAcentral.
GACGAACGCUGGCGGCGUGCUUAACACAUGCAAGUCGAACGGAAAGGCCCUGCUUUUGUGGGGUGCUCGAGUGGCGAACGGGUGAGUAACACGUGAGUAACCUGCCCUUGACUUUGGGAUAACUUCAGGAAACUGGGGCUAAUACCGGAUAGGAGCUCCUGCUGCAUGGUGGGGGUUGGAAAGUUUCGGCGGUUGGGGAUGGACUCGCGGCUUAUCAGCUUGUUGGUGGGGUAGCGGCUUACCAAGGCUUUGACGGGUAGCCGGCCUGAGAGGGUGACCGGCCACAUUGGGACUGAGAUACGGCCCAGACUCCUACGGGAGGCAGCAGUGGGGAAUAUUGCACAAUGGGCGGAAGCCUGAUGCAGCAACGCCGCGUGCGGGAUGACGGCCUUCGGGUUGUAAACCGCUUUCGCCUGUGACGAAGCGUGAGUGACGGUAAUGGGUAAAGAAGCACCGGCUAACUACGUGC